This 1540-nucleotide ribosomal RNA is filed under the name Staphylococcus aureus DAR3901. Its description in RNAcentral is "16S ribosomal RNA". It matches the Rfam family "Bacterial small subunit ribosomal RNA". Lineage: Bacteria; Bacillati; Bacillota; Bacilli; Caryophanales; Staphylococcaceae. The record is from RNAcentral.
AGAGUUUGAUCCUGGCUCAGGAUGAACGCUGGCGGCGUGCCUAAUACAUGCAAGUCGAGCGAACGGACGAGAAGCUUGCUUCUCUGAUGUUAGCGGCGGACGGGUGAGUAACACGUGGAUAACCUACCUAUAAGACUGGGAUAACUUCGGGAAACCGGAGCUAAUACCGGAUAAUAUUUUGAACCGCAUGGUUCAAAAGUGAAAGACGGUCUUGCUGUCACUUAUAGAUGGAUCCGCGCUGCAUUAGCUAGUUGGUAAGGUAACGGCUUACCAAGGCAACGAUGCAUAGCCGACCUGAGAGGGUGAUCGGCCACACUGGAACUGAGACACGGUCCAGACUCCUACGGGAGGCAGCAGUAGGGAAUCUUCCGCAAUGGGCGAAAGCCUGACGGAGCAACGCCGCGUGAGUGAUGAAGGUCUUUGGAUCGUAAAACUCUGUUAUUAGGGAAGAACAUAUGUGUAAGUAACUGUGCACAUCUUGACGGUACCUAAUCAGAAAGCCACGGCUAACUACGUGCCAGCAGCCGCGGUAAUACGUAGGUGGCAAGCGUUAUCCGGAAUUAUUGGGCGUAAAGCGCGCGUAGGCGGUUUUUUAAGUCUGAUGUGAAAGCCCACGGCUCAACCGUGGAGGGUCAUUGGAAACUGGAAAACUUGAGUGCAGAAGAGGAAAGUGGAAUUCCAUGUGUAGCGGUGAAAUGCGCAGAGAUAUGGAGGAACACCAGUGGCGAAGGCGACUUUCUGGUCUGUAACUGACGCUGAUGUGCGAAAGCGUGGGGAUCAAACAGGAUUAGAUACCCUGGUAGUCCACGCCGUAAACGAUGAGUGCUAAGUGUUAGGGGGUUUCCGCCCCUUAGUGCUGCAGCUAACGCAUUAAGCACUCCGCCUGGGGAGUACGACCGCAAGGUUGAAACUCAAAGGAAUUGACGGGGACCCGCACAAGCGGUGGAGCAUGUGGUUUAAUUCGAAGCAACGCGAAGAACCUUACCAAAUCUUGACAUCCUUUGACAACUCUAGAGAUAGAGCCUUCCCCUUCGGGGGACAAAGUGACAGGUGGUGCAUGGUUGUCGUCAGCUCGUGUCGUGAGAUGUUGGGUUAAGUCCCGCAACGAGCGCAACCCUUAAGCUUAGUUGCCAUCAUUAAGUUGGGCACUCUAAGUUGACUGCCGGUGACAAACCGGAGGAAGGUGGGGAUGACGUCAAAUCAUCAUGCCCCUUAUGAUUUGGGCUACACACGUGCUACAAUGGACAAUACAAAGGGCAGCGAAACCGCGAGGUCAAGCAAAUCCCAUAAAGUUGUUCUCAGUUCGGAUUGUAGUCUGCAACUCGACUACAUGAAGCUGGAAUCGCUAGUAAUCGUAGAUCAGCAUGCUACGGUGAAUACGUUCCCGGGUCUUGUACACACCGCCCGUCACACCACGAGAGUUUGUAACACCCGAAGCCGGUGGAGUAACCUUUUAGGAGCUAGCCGUCGAAGGUGGGACAAAUGAUUGGGGUGAAGUCGUAACAAGGUAGCCGUAUCGGAAGGUGCGGCUGGAUCACCU